Molecule: long non-coding RNA, 351 nt
Filed under: Dromaius novaehollandiae (emu)
Lineage: Eukaryota; Metazoa; Chordata; Aves; Casuariiformes; Dromaiidae
Description: lncRNA (ENSDNVG00000018974.1)
Source: RNAcentral
UCAUUCACUUGGGCAGCCCAUUUCCUACACAGAUCAGGACUGCAUCUUUUACUCCUUUGGAAAUUAGUCCCUUAGGAGCCAGUCCAACACCAACUAAAAUUCAUGGACUAUCUCCAAGGGACUGCAGCGGCUUUAGACUCCGAACCUACGCAGAGAUCACAGAUUCCACACUGAUUCCUGGACUUCCAUGGCAUCCAAGUUCUAGUGGGUGUCAUGAGGACCGUCUUCUAAGUAGCAGCAACACGCAUUCUCCUGCUGUUCUGCAGAUGAUCCCAGAAAUGGAGCAAUUACGAUCUCAUCUGAAAUAUGUGGCUGCACUGUAACCAMACAAUAAAAAAGCUCAAACAAACA